This 253-nucleotide ribosomal RNA is filed under the name uncultured bacterium. RNAcentral's name for it is "partial 16S ribosomal RNA". It matches the Rfam family "Bacterial small subunit ribosomal RNA", at positions 524 to 776 of the family's 1533-position model. The record is from RNAcentral.
UACGUAGGUGGCAAGCGUUGUCCGGAUUUAUUGGGUUUAAAGGGUGCGUAGGCGGCUUUGUAAGUCAGUGCUGAAAUAUCCCGGCUUAACCGGGAGGGUGGCAUUGAUACUGUAGGGCUUGAGUGUAGUCGAGGUAGGCGGAAUUGACGGUGUAGCGGUGAAAUGCUUAGAUAUCGUCAAGAACACCGAUAGUGUAGACAGCUUACUAGGCUACAACUGACGCUGAGGCACGAAAGUGUGGGGAUCAAACAGG